CACACUGGGACUGAGACACGGCCCAGACUCCUACGGGAGGCAGCAGUGGGGAAUAUUGGACAAUGGGGGCAACCCUGAUCCAGCCAUGCCGCGUGAGUGAUGAAGGCCUUCGGGUUGUAAAGCUCUUUUGGCGGGGACGAUGAUGACGGUACCCGCAGAAUAAGCCCCGGCUAACUUCGUGCCAGCCGCCGCCGUAACAC
RNAcentral lists this ribosomal RNA (200 nucleotides) under uncultured bacterium. Its description in RNAcentral is "partial 16S ribosomal RNA". It matches the Rfam family "Bacterial small subunit ribosomal RNA", at positions 309 to 526 of the family's 1533-position model. The record is from RNAcentral.